UACAGAGGUCUCAAGCGUUGUUCGGAUUCAUUGGGCGUAAAGGGUGCGUAGGCGGCGCGGUAAGUCGGGUGUGAAAUCUCGGGGCUUAACUCCGAAACUGCAUUCGAUUCUGCCGUGCUUGAGGACUGGAGAGGAGACUGGAAUUUACGGUGUAGCGGUGAAAUGCGUAGAUAUCGUAAGGAAGACCAGUGGCGAAGGCGGGUCUCUGGACAGUUCCUGACGCUGAGGCACGAAGGCCAGGGGAGCAAACGGG
Molecule: ribosomal RNA, 253 nt
Filed under: uncultured bacterium
Lineage: Bacteria
Description: partial 16S ribosomal RNA
Rfam family: Bacterial small subunit ribosomal RNA
Source: RNAcentral